Molecule: long non-coding RNA, 4083 nt
Organism: Coturnix japonica (Japanese quail)
Lineage: Eukaryota; Metazoa; Chordata; Aves; Galliformes; Phasianidae
Source: RefSeq, a predicted model, not a curated record
GUGGAAUUUUUUUUCCUAUUUUUUAUUUUUUUCUGAAGAAGCAGAUGAUUAAAACUUCCCACCUGACAGGCAGCUGGUUGGGCCAUUUACCAGAACAGACUGAAGGGUGAUGGCUCACUGCUGGAAGCAUUUCUCUGUUUUCAUUACCAAGCAACGGCGCAAGAAGCCAACAGUAUCAUUUGAGGAUUAUCAUGCUCUCUUCUGAAGCCGAGAGUAUUGCAAGGCUGUAUAAAACUGAGGACUCCUACGUCAUCUGAACUCCUGCUGCUGCUCUACAAACUCGACAGCAGUUGAGCAACAAGUCUAACCUUUCUACUGUAUAUCUGGAACAGUUAUUAAAGUAUCCUAAUGAUGGCAUGAAUUCGAGGAAAAGCUGCCCUGAGUGCACUCCUUUGUGGAAUACUGACAAUGAAUGCUUAGAGCUCUGACCAAUUCUGCAAGAAGAACACUACAGAAGAGGAAGAUGUUUCCUCGACAGUUUCUACUCAUUCCAUGAACAAAGAAAGGAUUGUGACAGAUGGCAGCAGAAGGGCACUCUGACAAAACAGUCUUUGACAUGGAAAUGCGUAUAAAGUGCCCAAGCCUAGCUUUAUGAAGCCAUUCUGACUGUCUUCAGUAGAGCAGAGCAGACCCUUCAGAAAUCCUUCAAAGUGCACCCAGAGCAAUUGUGGCUUUAGAGGCUCACGCUUUUCGAGCAGAGAGGCCCUUCACCUUCUACUGUAAACAUAAAGAAAUCAGAGGCUCUCUCACGCAGUGCCGUUGGCAGAUCACCGUGAACUUGUUUCAGCCAGAGCACACUUCGACGUCAUGGUCAGUGAAAGUGUCUGAGCUUCAAAGGUUUGAGAAAUAGUAAUUGAAGCAUGGACAGGAUUCCAGCAGAACAGGAACAGUGGUUUCCCUGACUAAGUUUGUUCUGGUAAGUUCAGGGUUCUUGGGACCAUUCUCUGGCAUUAAAGACAACUGGCAUAAAAAAAUCUCUUAUCUGUAUUAUUAAGAUCUAUUACUCUCCACUGCAGGGUAGCUACAGGCUGUUUACCUGUCAGGAACAUUAUAUAGGGCAUGCUAGUUUCCAGACCAUACACAGAUUUGGGGGAGGGGGAAAGGCAGUUGUCUCUGGCAAAUUUUUUUUCUUGGGGUUGCACUGCUUUUCUAUGAACAAUCAUGUUUCAGUGCCCAGGAACAAUUCCUGGCACAGUUUGGUUGAUUAGAGCAGAUGGCGGUUGAAAUAUUUCUGGAGAUUUAAGCCACCAGGGUCUGUGGUUUCAUGAUUCCUCAAACAGUGAACAGAUCUAUGAGCUAGUUGCACUCCAUAACAAAAGACUGUCGAGUCCAGCAGCAGCACCUCAGUGAUGCAGACAUAAGAUAACUUUGGUUGACAUCUGCCUGUAGUCAUUGUGAUUUAUUUCAGUUCCUGAGCAUUCUGAACCAGUUUCCAAAAUGAGGAAGGAUAAAAUUAUAGCCUUAAAAUCAUUGACGUCAAAAGUUUCAUAGGUCGCCAAAAAUCACAAUUGUUGUAAACUCUUGUAAAAUCAAAUUAGUGAUUUUACUGAUGAUGUUCAGAGUAAAAGAUGUUUCAAAUGAGAUUCAAAAGGAUCUGAUGACCUGGAUUACUUCCAUUUUAGAGUGUCCAACCAUAGGCACUUCUGAUCUUGUUUUUCCAAUGUCUUGAUCUCCCAGAAACAAACUGACUCAGAAUUAUCAGUUUUCUUUUAAACUCUGAGGCAGAAGACAUUAGUUUUUAUGCUUUGUGGGAUCUAUGUUUUUCUCGUUGGUUUGCGCUGCAGUGACUUUGUACAGCUACAUUCAACUGCAAUAAAUUAAAGAAUGUUAGGAACUCCUAAUUGGACUGUGUCUUAUAUACAAGAUAGGAUUAUAAUAUGAAAGUCUGAGUGGUUGGCAGCUGAACACAGAAGUCCCAAUGGGAUGCAUCACCUGUAGCCUAAGAAAAGAGAUCAUGCUCGAUAUUUGCAGCUUAUGUGCUAUCCCACACAGAACCAGCAAGAUCAUUUUUUUAACAAACAGUUUUAUGUGCUACAUCCUCAUCAUUGAUCAUUCUGUCAGAGACUGAAAAAAAAGUUCUUUGAACUUAGUUAGACUGGUUUCUCAUUGCUAAAUAGCAUUUGCAUUGUUUAAUCAUUUCAGCUCUUACAGCUAAUGUGAUAGAAUGCUUUUACAUAAGUAUUAUUAUUAUUUUUUUUUUUUCUCUCAGUAUGGAGGAAGGAAAAUUGGGCAUGGAAAAAUUUAAGGAAAUUAAAUUUUUACUACCUCAAACUGGGCGUAGAAAGCCAUGAGUGUUAUGUCUGAAAAAUUACUAAUAUUAAAAAUUCUCUUCAAAUUCCAUUGGGAGGGGUGCAAAAACACUUAUUAAAGUGGGUAAUCUCUCUGUAAAACAAACUGGUAUCCAGUAAUAGCUCCCCUUUCCUUCAGAACUGUGUGGGCUGCCUUCUCUUUUAUGCACACUCACAUAAUACCCCUGCGGCAGUUACAGUGGUUGCUUACGCAGAAGAAUAAUACUAGGAAAGUAUUUAUGCAUUUGUACUGUAUUGAGUGUGAUAAAUGCUUUUCCCUUUCUGAAAAACAAAAAACUUGCAUUGUCUGCUUUUGUUUUUCAUCUCCUCCCAUCUAUUCUGUUUCUCUUAGCUGGAAAUGAGAAUAACGGCUGACUCUGUGUGGAUGCCAGUAGUCUAUAGAGAGUUUGAAGGCCACUACAAUAUUGUUGAAGCUCCUUUUUAAAAAUAGCUCUGUCCCAGUUCAUGUGAAAAGCUUUCAUAGGAUCAUUGCUGUUGUAGGGAAGGACUAGACUUACUUUCUAUCUCUGAGGGUUUUGUGGCCACAUGGCCCACUGGACAUACAACAUCUUAGGACAUCCGACAUCUUUUGUUUCCAACCACAGAAUAGGACCAGAAACAUUUGUCUCAAGUGAAAGUUUGAUAUGAAAGAUACAGUGAUCUUUACUCAAUGUAGCAAAACCAAUAUAUGAUUUCACAUUGUAAUAAAAACAGCAACAUUAGCUCACUUGCCUCGGAAGCAUUUGAACAUGGGUCUCACAGACAUGCAAAUUCAGUCACUCUGUUAUUUAAAUGUCCUACACAUGGUCUGAAAUGUUUCAGUAGAAAUCUGAGAUCUUUUCUGUGGAUAAUUCUGUUGCUGUAUCCUACUCAGAGAAACUCAGAACAAAAUUGAUCUAGGCAACACAGCAACUUAAUCACAAGUUGUUGAAAACACUAGCAAUGCAACAUGAAACUCAUAAGCUACUUUGUAUUUAGUCACAGAAAUUAAAUUGCCAGAAAACAUGGAAAUUUGCAGAUUGUUGGAGUUAUAGGAAGAGAGUUAUAACUAAGUCCUGUGAAGUUUCACUAACACUGAGUGAUUAGAGGCCUAGUAAAAGCAAUUUAAUUUUUCUAGAGCUAAAGAAUUCAUGCUAUUUUUUUCUCCUUGACAGUACUAUUAAAAGACCUAAAUACAAUGUUCCUCAGAUUAGCACAUUUUUACAUUCAACAGUGGUUUUUUUUCUUUUUUGUUUGUUUGUUUUUCUUCCCCCUCCCCCCCUCCAACACACCUUCCCCUCCCAGCCUUUAUCAUGUCUCAGCACAGAUUUUCAUUAGCAGAUUGAUUUGGUAUGAUUACUAAUGUAAGGCACUGUAACCUACACUGUAACCUAACUGCAUCUGGCUAAGCCAUUUACAAGGCAGUAACUACACAAAUUGGAGGAAGGGCCUAGCCCAUAAGGUAAUCAAGUUAUUUUAAAAGUAAUAUGCCCCUUUUCCUUUCUAUUAAAACCAGAAAUGGGAAGACAAGUUGCUUUAUGCCAGCUUCACCAAUGAAUAAUAACUUUUUCAUUUUAUAUUAAAAACUGUUUUUUAAAUUUUUAGUUUCAUAAUAAAGAACACAGAGAAAUAUUCUCUACUUUAUGAGCUGCACCAAAGUCAUGUUGGCAAGUGAAGAAAUAAUAAAGUGAAAUUGCUUCAUAUGUUUUUUAUUAUAUAAUAAGCUGCUGAUGCAAAGGUUCAAGCCUGCACCACUCAAUAGGCAGUCUACCAAUCACAAAACUCAGAACUAGAAAGUUGUCAUCUUUCCCCCCCC